This 512-nucleotide long non-coding RNA is filed under the name Pan troglodytes (chimpanzee). RNAcentral's name for it is "lincRNA". The record is from RNAcentral. Lineage: Eukaryota; Metazoa; Chordata; Mammalia; Primates; Hominidae.
AUCAUAAGGAUGGUGCCAUUUGACAUUCGGUCAAGGGAUGGAGCAGGAAGGCUUGAGAUACACAACCCAUAUCUUUAAGGCACUUUCCAUCUGGUAGAGAAACGGAAAUGUAUGCACAUAGCGGCACAUGUGAUGGCAACAGAACCCAGGGCCUGUACCAGGCCUACUAAGGAGUGAGCUGAUGUGGCUGAGAGUUUUGGAAUGUGAGGCUGGGAUGACAAGCCUGGGGCCUGGCUCUUCUGUGCUCAGUGAGGACUGCUCCAGCCUCAGCCCCAACUCCCAGCAAAGCCCAGUUUACAGAGGAUGAAACUGAGGCACAGAGAAGUCAAGCAUCUUGUGCAGGGCCACGCAGCCUGCUCCAGAGCCGGGCUCUGACCCUCCACAAGAGCCAUCACUAAAGUUCCACUUACCACUGCACCUUCAAUCUCUUCCUCUCUCCAUCCCUCCCACAUGUUCACAGACAAAAUCUUCUUCCUUAUUUAAUAAAACAAUAUAAUGACCAGCCUGGCAAA